UACAGAGGGUGCGAGCGUUGUCCGGAAUCACUGGGCGUAAAGGGCGUGUAGGCGGGAAGGAAAGUCAGAUGUGAAAUCCCUGGGCUCAACCCAGGAACUGCAUUUGAAACUCCCUUUCUUGAGUACCGGAGAGGAAAGUGGAAUUCCUGGUGUAGAGGUGAAAUUCGUAGAUAUCAGGAGGAACACCAGUGGCGAAGGCGGCUUUCUGGACGGUAACUGACGCUGAGACGCGAAAGCGUGGGGAGCAAACAGG
Molecule: ribosomal RNA, 253 nt
Filed under: uncultured bacterium
Lineage: Bacteria
Description: partial 16S ribosomal RNA
Rfam family: Bacterial small subunit ribosomal RNA
Source: RNAcentral